CUGUCGCUAUGGGAUGGCCCCGCGGUGCAUUAGCUAGUUGGUAAGGUAAAGGCUUACCAAGGCGAUGAUGCAUAGCCGUGUUGAGAGACUGAUCGGCCACAUUGGGACUGAGACACGGCCCAAACUCCUACGGGAGGCAGCAGUAGGGAUUCAUCCACAAUGGACUNAAGUCUGAUGGAGCAACGCCGCGUGAGUGAAGAAGGUU
This 205-nucleotide ribosomal RNA is filed under the name uncultured Lactobacillus sp. RNAcentral describes it as "partial 16S ribosomal RNA". It matches the Rfam family "Bacterial small subunit ribosomal RNA", at positions 212 to 416 of the family's 1533-position model. The record is from RNAcentral. Lineage: Bacteria; Bacillati; Bacillota; Bacilli; Lactobacillales; Lactobacillaceae.